RNAcentral lists this long non-coding RNA (3129 nucleotides) under Sus scrofa (pig). Its description in RNAcentral is "lncRNA (ENSSSCG00045038816.1)". The record is from RNAcentral. Lineage: Eukaryota; Metazoa; Chordata; Mammalia; Artiodactyla; Suidae.
GAGUUCCCACUGUGGCACAGUGGGUUAAAAAUCCAACUGCAGCAGCUUGGAUUGCUGAGGAGGUACAGGCUUGGCAUAGCUUGCAGCAGUGGCUCAGAGUCAGUCCGUGGCCUGGGCACCUUCCGUAUGCUGCAGGUGUGGCCAUAAAAAGAAAAAGGAAAUAAUAAAAAAGAAUUACUGAGUGACUUUAAAACCAACACAAGAGUUCCUGUUGAGGUUCAACGGGUUAAGAACCCAGUGCUGUCUCUGAGGAUGUGGCUUCGAUCCCUGGCCUCACACAGUGGGUUAAGGAUCCAGUGUUGUCACAAGCUACAAUUUAGGUUGCAUAUGCAACUCGGAUCCAGCAUUGCCAUGGCUCUGGUGUAGGCUGGCAGCUGCAGCUCCAAUUUGACCUCCAGCCUGGGAACUAACAUAUGCUGCAGGAGCGGCCCAAGAAAUAGCAACAACAAAAACAACAAAAAAGACAAAAAAAAAAAAAAACGUGUUGUGCUACCUGCCUGUACAUUUUGUUUUAAGAACAAUGAAAAGAUGCACAGUUGAAUGCUUCAUUUAAAAAAAAGCUCAAAUGCUCUCUGAAAGAAAAAGAUGAAGUGCACUUUAUAUUUGUGACCUAUGAUUUUUUUUUUCCCCCCUCUUGCUCUGUGUAUCAGUGCCUCUCCCUGGAAAAGAGCCUUAGGCUAUUUUUAAAGACCUUGUUGAGUGGAGAUGUAAAGAAGAAGCAUAGAGAUAUUGUACAACUUUAUUUUUAGCACUACAGACUAUGUAUCUACCUCUCAAACUCAGGAAAAUAGCUCCCAACAUUCAGUGGACCCGUUACUCUGUACCAAGAUCUGAUGUCGUGUUUGUUCUUGUGUCACAUAUGUUGGCUCUUGUUUUUCUCUCUUGAUGCUUUUUGAGUCCAUGCAUUGAGAUUUUAGAAAGAAUGUUAACGUUUAAGGGUUGGUGGUUAAUGUAUUUGUGUGUGUUGGGUGUCUGUAAUAUGGAAAUUGAAAAUAGGGUCAUUAUUAAUCAAUUAGUCAAUAGAAGUAGGCAGAUGCUUUCUCAGUUCUAUGCCAUGCACGUAUUAUUUCUUAUAAAACUGUGCACUAACCCAAGGUUGCUUUUUAAAAGUACUGUUAUUUUUUAAGGACUGUUAUUGUUUAGUAUCAACCUUCUUGUAAACGAGCCACACUGAUAGAUAAGAUAUUAAUAUUUGCAAGGGUGGAAGUAGAACACGCAUUGAAGAGGCUAGGGUGAAAUGUAUUUACAGAGGAAUUGUAUUUACUUUCAGACUGUUUAAAGAUUCAUAUUCUUAAACUCCGCUCUGCUUGGGAUGCCCUUCACCUUUAGCCCUUUGAAUAAAUUGAUAUUCAUCCCUCAGGUCCACUCCUCCUCCUUAGAGCUUUCUGGGCCUGACCCUUUUGGGCUGAAUCAGUAUUUGUUCCUCUAAUAGCUCCCUGUAGUGAUUUACUGAAGUGUGAGAAUUCUCAGCUAAAUGUGAGCUCUUUCAUGUAAGGACCAUCUCUAGGAGCCCCAGUGGAGUCUGAAGAUUAUACACUAAAUGGUUGAUUUUUGGUUUAAGGAAUAAAGUUUAUGAUUUGCCUUUGCAGUGGAAAAUAUAUUAGAGUAAUUUUGCAUUAUAUAGCUGUGAGCAACAUACACCAUAACUCUCGGUUUUAGAAAAACUGAGGUCCAAAGCAGCUGUAUUGCUUGCUAAAGUUAUACAGAAUGUUCCUUAAACUGAGUUGGCACUGUGUUCAUUUCUCUUUCCCUCCUAUGUACUUUUCAAGACCAGCAUUUGCCAAACUAUGCUGCACAGACACUAGGGCCUUAGGCUAUGGAACUGGAGUCAUGUCCAGUAAAGGAGAAUGUGUAAUAUUGGGAGAAAAAAACCUUCAGUUAAAGAAAAUUUAAUGGUUUAAAAAACAAAAACAAACAAACAAAAAACUCCAGGACUCUUCUGAACUAUAAUGGGCUCAAGUGCAUAUUGCCAAAGAGAUGGCUAUAGCAUGCAGUGUUUUGCAAAGUCAUAUAUUAACACAACCCCUCUUUAAAAUUUCUCUUCUCUUAAAAAACUAUUUUUUUUUGAAAGAUACGAUUUAGAGGAGCUGUACUGAAUGAAUUCUGUCUGAUGUUCAUAAGUUAUUUAUGUCAAAGUCAUCUUGACUUUGUAUGUGAACAAAAGAAAUGGAAAAAUAUUGGUUGUGGGUUUUUUUCCUGGAUUUGGCUCCGACUUACUCCGUGAGUUUUGACAGAUUCCAAAAUGGCAGGAAAUUGUUUCCGUAGUAUCUGUUGGGAGAACAUUUAAAUUUAUCAAAUUCAAAUCCUAGGCUUAAUAUGAUUUCCAGUUUAAUUACAAGGGGGUCGUUAGAGGUAGUUAUAUUGUGAUUUGAGAAGGCACCCUCAGAAAGCUAAUAGAGAUUGGAGGUUUGGGGAGAGGACCCACAGCACUAGUCAUAGAGAGAAAGAACCCGUGAGUGUCCAGGAUCAUCAGUGCGAGGCAGUAUAAAUGCUGUCGCUACGUGGGUUCAUAAUGGUAGAAGGGACAGUUGAGUUUUUAUAGCUUCCCCAAGGGAAGAAGUAGCUUCAUUUGGUUAAAUGUGGCCUGGAAUAAAACAUCCACACAAAAGAAAUUGUGGAUUUCAGUAGGAGAAAUUGACUCAUGCUGAAUGGUCUCUCUGGACUGGAAAGGGAAGGGAGAGCUCUAGCUGGGAGUUAGUGUGGGAGGAGUGUGCCUCAGGCCCCCAGACUCUGCUGUCUUCUAGCUUUAUGACCUCAGGCAACUCCAUCUCUCUGUUUACUUAAGAGAAAAGUGGGAGGUCUUACCUAAUAUGACUGAUUCUAUGAUACCGAGCUGGGAGGGUCAAAGAAAGGAAGGCAGACUUGUCUGCACAGUUGAUUUUUGAAGGAGCAUGUUAGAGACAUGAUCACAGACUGAUUUUUUUUAACUUUUUAAAAAAUUAUUAUUAACGUAUAGUUGAUUUGCAAUGUUCCAUCAUGUUCUGUUGUACAACAAAGUGACCCAGUCACACACGUUUCCCUGUGCUAUACAGUAAGGUCCCAUUGCCCAUCCAUUGCGGAUAUAACUGUUUGCAUCCCCCAAACCCCCAAAAUGCCCAUCCCUCCCACUCCCUCCUGACCUGGGAACCC